Molecule: ribosomal RNA, 519 nt
Filed under: uncultured eukaryote
Lineage: Eukaryota
Description: SSU rRNA
Rfam family: Eukaryotic small subunit ribosomal RNA
Source: RNAcentral
AGGGCACCACCAGGAGUGGAGCCUGCGGCUUAAUUUGACUCAACACGGGAAAACUCACCCGGCCCGGACACCGUAAGGAUUGACAGACUGAGAGCUCUUUCUUAAUUCGGUGGGUGGUGGUGCAUGGCCGUUCUUAGUUGGUGGAGCGAUUUGUCUGGUUAAUUCCGAUAACGAACGAGACUCUGGCCUAUUAAAUAGACGGUAUAUCGAAAAGUAUAUCGCACUUCUUAGAGGGACAAGCGGCGUCUAGCCGCAUGAAAUAGAGCAAUAACAGGUCUGUGAUGCCCUUAGAUGUCCGGGGCUGCACGCGCGCUACACUGAAAGAAUCAGAGUGCGCUUUGCCUAGUUCGGAAGAACUGGGUAACCCAAGUAAAUUCUUUCGUGCUUGGGAUGGGGAAUUGCAAUUAUUUCCCUUAAACGAGGAAUUCCCAGUAAAUGCGGGUCAUAAGCUCGCGUUGAUUACGUCCCUGCCCUUUGUACACACCGCCCGUCGCUACUACCGAUUGGAUGACUUAGUGA